Molecule: long non-coding RNA, 578 nt
Organism: Cygnus olor (mute swan)
Lineage: Eukaryota; Metazoa; Chordata; Aves; Anseriformes; Anatidae
Exons: 3
Source: RefSeq, a predicted model, not a curated record
GGUACCUGGGCCAGCGCGGGCUUGGCCGCCACGGUGGCCCCGGUCCCGGCCAGGGGCCCCGAGUGGGGCACAGGGUGCCGCACAGGGGGCGUUCCACACCUCUCCCCUCCUCCCCUUGCAGCAGAGCGGGGCUGCUGCCGCAGGACAGGAAGAACGGCCUCCUGCGCGCCUGCCUCUGCAGCGUCUUCCACCUCCCUGGCCACGAGGACAGGAGAGACAUGGACACGUCUCUCUACUUCAAGACCGUGGAAGCCCUGGACAGCCUGCUGCAGGUGCUGGUGGGCAGCGCCGGCGCCUCCGGCCUCCUGGAGCUGCAGAACAUCUUGAAGCUCCUGCUGCCCUUCACCCAGCAGCAGCCGGAGGCCGUGGAGGAGAGGGCCAUGGCGCGGAUCGCCAGGCUGGCCGCCUUCAUCAACACCUGCUCCUUGCCCCAGGUAGGGAGCCCCUGGUGCAGGCAGCCCCGGCGCCCCCGUCCUCGCUCCACGGCCGCGGCUCUCCCCAUCUCCAGGCUUGCGCAGAGCCGGGGCUGGGGCUGGGGCCCUGCCGCCCCGCUCAGCCGUGGUCCCGCGCUGCCUCUC